This 2496-nucleotide ribosomal RNA is filed under the name Triticum aestivum (bread wheat). RNAcentral's name for it is "partial small subunit ribosomal RNA". Lineage: Eukaryota; Viridiplantae; Streptophyta; Magnoliopsida; Poales; Poaceae. The record is from RNAcentral.
AUGGAAGCGAUCUUGCGCUCCGUCCCAGAGGAGAUGGUGCUCAACCUUGGUGCCAAGGAGACGGCCAAGGAAGCAUGGGAGACCAUCAAGACUCUGCGCAUCGGCGUGGAGCGCGUACGGGAGUCGAAGGCCCAGACCUUGCGCCUCCAGUACGAGGAGAUCCGGUUCAAGGCCGGUGAACAAGUCGACGACUUCGCCUUGCGGCUGCAAGGUCUCGUCAACGAGCUCGCAACGCUUGGAGAUCCCAUCGACAACAAGAUGGUGAUUCUCAAGUUUCUCCGCGUCGUCCCCAGGCAGUACAAGCAACUGGCCUGGUCCAUCGAGAGCUUGGUGGAUCUCUCCACCAUGACGAUCGAGGAGCUGGUAGGGCGGCUGAAGGUCGUCGAGGAGCGCGGCGACGACGCCAACAGCCAUGCUGGCGGCGAACUACUGCUCACCAGGGAGCAGUGGGACGCGCAGCUUCAGCAGCACGGCCGCAACGGCUCUUCCGGCAGUGGGGGAGGCGCCCCCACGGGAAGCAGAGAUCGCGACAGAGGCGGAGGCCGCGCCCAGAGCGGUGGUGGCAACCGCGGUCGCAGGCCAAGCCAGGCAGGGCGAGGCGCUGGCAACGGUGGCAAGUGCCGCUACUGCAACAUGCCGGGUCACUGGAUCCGGGAUUGCCACAGGAGGAAAGCCGACGAGGCAGCCGUGGCAACGGCAAACCUCGUCCAGGCUGACGUGGAUGGUGGGCCGGCAAUGAUGCUGGCAAGAGUCGAGCCCGUGCAGGAGAGCUCAGCGUCUCCCACGACCACGGCCCCGACAUCCACCCAUUCCGUGCAGGAGGCACGGAGCCCGUCCACGGGAACCAUCACUCCAGUGACAGGCCACACCUCGACAAUGAUGUUCUCGGGGCCUGUCGACUGGGAGGCGAUGAAGGCUCGGGUGUGGGGGAGCCACACCCUAGCGACGGCGUCCCCGACAACCUCGGGACCCGACAAGAUCGUGCAAGUUGGCGCGGCAACGACGCAUAUGGCGGACCAUGCUCCGACCAUGAUGCUGGCGACCAUCGACUCCGUGCAGGAGCGCACGGAGACUCAGGUCAGCCACACCCCGACAACAAAGUGUUCGGGGUCCACCGUGUUGUCGGGAGAUGGCUCCCUGACAACAGCAUGUGCGUGCGGCUACGUCUUCCUCAACGAGGAGAGAGCCGUGACCACAUCCACGCUUGCAGGCGGCAAGCAAAGUGAGGGUUGGUUCCUCGACACCGGCGCCACGAACCACAUGAAUGGUUCGAUCGACGCGUUCGCGGAGCUGGACCGCUCAAUCACCGGGAAGGUGCGGUUCGCGGACGGAUCCGUGGUGGAGAUCCACGGGCGCGGGACCGUCGUCUUCGCCGACAAAGGGGGUGAUCACAGGGCGUUCACGGACGUCUACUUCAUCCCGGCGCUCACGAGCAGCGUCGUGAGUGUCGGACAACUCGACGAGGGCUGGUUCGACAUCGGCAUCCGGCGCGGUGUUCUCACCGUGCACGACCAGCAGAAGAGGCUGCUCAUCGAGGUUACCCGCUCGCCGAACCGCCUCUACAAAUUCUUCUUUCAACCCGUGCAUCCUGUGUGCCUUUCCGUGGGCCAUGUCUCUGACGCGUGGCGUUGGCAUGCCCGGCUAGGACACCAGCACUUCGACGGGUUGCAAAAGAUGGCGCGAGGCAACCUUGUUCGUGGGCUACCUCACAUCAAGCACGCCGACGAGCUGUGUGAUGCAUGUCUUGCGGGGAAGCAGCGGCGUCUGCCGUUUCCCGAGAAGGCACGCUAUCGGGCGCAGAAACCCCUGGAGCUGGUUCACGGGGACCUCUGCGGCCCAAUCACCCCGGCAACGCCAGGAGGGCGUCGCUACAUCCUGCUGCUCGUCGACGACUAUAGCAGGUCCAUGUGGGUGCUGCUCCUCGCCUCCAAGGACGAGGCGGAGCAAGCCAUUGUCAAGAAGCAAGCGGCAGCAGAGGUCGAGUGCGGCCACAAGCUGCACGUGCUGCGCACGGACCGUGGCGGCGAGUUCACGUCGGCCACAUUCUACAAGCACUGCGACGAGAAAGGGGUGCAACGUCACCUCACAGCCCCUUACUCGACGCAGCAGAACGGCGUCGUCGAGCGAAGGAACCAGACGGUGCUCGGGAUGGCACGCUGCAUGCUCAAGGCAAAGCAGGUGCCGAGCACGUAUUGGGGGGAGGCCGUGCUCACGGCCGUCUUCAUCCUCAACCGCUCCUUCACAAGGAGCGUCGACGGAAAGACGCCUUACGAGGCGUGGUAUGGGAGGAAGCCAGAUGUACGCUUCCUCCGUACCUUUGGCUGCGUCGGGCACGUCAAGAUGACGCGCCCACAGCUGAAGAAGCUCGACGACAGGAGCACCCCAAUGGUGUUCAUGGGCUACGGGACGGGCUCUAAGGCGUACAAGAUGUAUGACCCCGUCUCAAAGCGUGUGCAUGUCUCUCGUGACGUCAUCUUCGACGAAGACGCGCGAUAG